GGUCAGGAUGAACGCUAGCUACAGGCUUAACACAUGCAAGUCGAGGGGCAGCAUGAUCUUAGCUUGCUAAGAUGAUGGCGACCGGCGCACGGGUGAGUAACGCGUAUCCAACCUUCCCUUAGUAGGGCAUAGCCCGGUGAAAAUCGGAUUAAUACCCUAUGUUGUGUCAUGAGGACAUCUGAAUAACACUAAAGAUUUAUCGCUAAGGGAUGGGGAUGCGUCCGAUUAGGUAGUCGGCGGGGUAACGGCCCACCGAGCCCUCGAUCGGUAGGGGUUCUGAGAGGAAGGUCCCCCACACUGGUACUGAGACACGGACCAGACUCCUACGGGAGGCAGCAGUGAGGAAUAUUGGUCAAUGGGCGUAAGCCUGAACCAGCCAAAGUAGCGUGCAGGAUGACGGCCCUAUGGGUUGUAAACUGCUUUUAUACGGGGAUAAAGGGAGGGACGUGUCCCUUAUUGUAGGUACCGUAUGAAUAAGGACCGGCUAAUUCCGUGCCAGCCGCAGC
This 506-nucleotide ribosomal RNA is filed under the name uncultured bacterium. RNAcentral's name for it is "bacterial SSU rRNA". It matches the Rfam family "Bacterial small subunit ribosomal RNA", at positions 22 to 518 of the family's 1533-position model. The record is from RNAcentral.